GUUCGGACUGCAGUCUGCAACUCGACUGCACGAAGCUGGAAUCGCUAGUAAUCGCGGAUCAGCACGCCGCGGUGAAUACGUUCCCGGGCCUUGUACACACCGCCCGUCACACCAUGGAAGUCUGCAAUGCCCGAAGCCGGUGGCCUAACCACUUAUGUGGAAGGAGCCGUCUAAGGCAGGGCAGAUGACUGGGGUGAAGUCGUAACAAGGUACC
Molecule: ribosomal RNA, 214 nt
Filed under: uncultured bacterium
Lineage: Bacteria
Description: partial 16S ribosomal RNA
Rfam family: Bacterial small subunit ribosomal RNA
Source: RNAcentral